Molecule: long non-coding RNA, 1504 nt
Filed under: Apteryx rowi (Okarito brown kiwi)
Lineage: Eukaryota; Metazoa; Chordata; Aves; Apterygiformes; Apterygidae
Description: lncRNA (ENSARWG00000014686.1)
Source: RNAcentral
GGGAACGCCCCCUCCGCCCUUCCCGCCUUCCGCGCGCCGCUUCGGGCCCGGGAGCGCGGGACGGGCGUUGCCCGGCAACAACACUGUAGCCAUGUUUGCAGCGCCUGAGCCAGCGUGGAGCCAGGAGCUGAAGAGACAGGCCAGGGAAGCCGCCAGUGGGAACGGGAGCGGGGCUGGGUGCCCGCAGCAGGACGGGGUGCCCAGGGCAGCUGGGGAGAAGGACAUCGAUCUCCAGACRCCGGCAAAGUCUCCGGGCAGGAAAGAGGAUCAGGAGAGCCCUGCGUUUGGCAGCUCUAAUGACGCUUUGCUGGAUCGAGAGUCCCGAGAUGUCACGGCUCCGGAGAUCCUGGCGUCCCAGGCCGGCUCGGCAGAUCGUGCUGCGGAUGGGUGCCUAGAGCCCGCUGCCUGGCCGGCCGGGGCAGCCUGCUGGCCGCAGCGUGACAGCAAUGAGGACAGCUGGGGACUCACCAAGAGGAAGCCUCCCGCGCGGGGCGAAGGAAGGAAGYGGCCCGGGGGCCCCGCCGCCGAGCGCCGGGAGGAACCGAGAGAGCUCCACCACGUUCGCCGCGGGCUGGCCCCGGAGACGCUCUACGGGCAGCUCGGUCGCUCCAUGGAGGCAGGCGCGGAGAGAGAGACCGCGGCGGACGGCGGCCGUUACUGGGACGAGCGCUCCAAGAAGAUGGCUCAGCAAAACCUGAGGCAGCUCCUCAGCUUCCUGCGGCUCCUGGUCGACGCGCUCACCGUCCUCCUCGUCGAGCUGGUCCGCUUCCUCGGCGAGUCCGUGGUCCAGGUGCUGCUGGUCGGUCUGCUGACRGCGAUAGGAGAGCACAUGUUGAAGCCCCUCUUGGUGGCUGUGUCUAACAGCAUCCUGCAGCCUCUGCUGCUGUUCCUGCUGAACCUCCUGCACGGCAUCCGGGACCUGACCUACCCGCUCAUCGACAUCCUGGAGGGCAUCUGCUUGCAGGUCGCCGUGGUGCUUCGAGCUUUCAGAUUAGUCGAGAUCAACGUGCAGUCGGACGGAGGAGCAGCUCGGAGGGUUUAGGUGGGCGCUCGCACCACGCGGCGCCCCAGCCAGCCGGAUGCCUGCACCGACGUCCUCGCCGUGGCCGGAGGCGYUGUUCGGCUCGAUACCUUGCGUUUGGCCUGGGGUGGCUUCCUGGUGACGAGAUUUGUGACGCGCAGGCAGAAACGUGAAGGUGCGGACAGGUCUCCGGACUCGGCUCAGCAGCAGCUGCUCAGCGGAGCUGGCGGUAAGCGGGACUGUCUCUAGGSUGGCAAAGGAAGACGGGGAGCAGUUAUCUCCGCGAAGAGCGAUGUAACUCGAGGAAGGCUGGGAAUAUCUGCCAGCAAGGGGGAGGCAACCGCUGAAACGGUGAGGACCACGACGCAGCCGCGUGUUUCUGUGCUGGUGGGGGAUGCGCCGCACCCGUGGGACUGGGUUUGUACUUUGUACUUUCUCAAGUGCCUCCUUAACCUCCCUAUUAAAUGAGAAUUUUAUACCUUG